UACGAAGGGGGCUAGCGUUGCUCGGAAUUACUGGGCGUAAAGCGCACGUAGGCGGCUUUCUAAGUCGGGGGUGAAAUCCUGGAGCUCAACUCCAGAACUGCCUUCGAUACUGGAGAGCUCGAGUCCGGGAGAGGUGAGUGGAACUGCGAGUGUAGAGGUGAAAUUCGUAGAUAUUCGCAAGAACACCAGUGGCGAAGGCGGCUCACUGGCCCGGUACUGACGCUGAGGUGCGAAAGCGUGGGGAGCAAGCAGG
This 253-nucleotide ribosomal RNA is filed under the name uncultured bacterium. RNAcentral's name for it is "partial 16S ribosomal RNA". It matches the Rfam family "Bacterial small subunit ribosomal RNA", at positions 524 to 776 of the family's 1533-position model. The record is from RNAcentral.